GGGGGCUGGGCUAGGAUGAAAAAUUUUGUCCUGCAUUUUUUUUUUAGCUGUAAUCUCUGUCCUGCCUUUUUAUUUUUCACUCUGUUCGGUCCUGCCUUUUUCUUUUAGUUUAUCCCGACUUUUUUUUUACCUAAAUUGUCGUCCUGACUUUUUUUUGCAAGUGUCUCAUCCUGCCUUUUUUUUUACUCAAAACUCCUGUCCUGCCUAUUUUUUCAAAUUUCAUCCUAGCUCCCCCCAUAAAAAUCAAAUGGUAGCUC
RNAcentral lists this long non-coding RNA (257 nucleotides) under Mytilus galloprovincialis (Mediterranean mussel). The record is from RNAcentral. Lineage: Eukaryota; Metazoa; Mollusca; Bivalvia; Mytilida; Mytilidae.